This 497-nucleotide ribosomal RNA is filed under the name uncultured bacterium. RNAcentral's name for it is "partial 16S ribosomal RNA". It matches the Rfam family "Bacterial small subunit ribosomal RNA", at positions 28 to 507 of the family's 1533-position model. The record is from RNAcentral.
GAUGAACGCUGGCGGCGUGCCUAAUACAUGCAAGUCGAGCGAACGGACGAGAAGCUUGCUUCUCUGAUGUUAGCGGCGGACGGGUGAGUAACACGUGGAUAACCUACCUAUAAGACUGGGAUAACUUCGGGAAACCGGAGCUAAUACCGGAUGAUAUUUUGAACCGCAUGGUUCAAAAGUGAAGGACGGUCUUGCUGUCACUUAUAGAUGGAUCCGCGCUGCAUUAGCUAGUUGGUAAGGUAACGGCUCACCAAGGCAACGAUGCAUAGCCGACCUGAGAGGGUGAUCGGCCACACUGGAACUGAGACACGGUCCAGACUCCUACGGGAGGCAGCAGUAGGGAAUCUUCCGCAAUGGGCGAAAGCCUGACGGAGCAACGCCGCGUGAGUGAUGAAGGUCUUCGGAUCGUAAAACUCUGUUAUUAGGGAAGAACAUAUGUGUAAGUAACUGUGCACAUCUUGACGGUACCUAAUCAGAAAGCCACGGCUAACUACGUG